GCAAAGGUGGCAUAAUGGUUUGAGCAUUGGACAAUGACUCUAGAGACCAGGGUUCGAUUCCCAGCUCAGCCA
Molecule: non-coding RNA, 72 nt
Organism: Phrynosoma platyrhinos (Desert horned lizard)
Lineage: Eukaryota; Metazoa; Chordata; Lepidosauria; Squamata; Phrynosomatidae
Source: the annotation of a GenBank genome assembly